UGGCGCCACUAUCAAUGAUUCAAUGAUUUAAGGCCUUUCUUUGUGUAGUGAAUAAGGAGUAGAAAGGUACAGAUAUACCUGCGUAGUUCACUUGGGCAAAAUUUUUACCAUUGAAGAAGGCUUUGAUUUGAUUAAGUUCUUCGGGAGUAAAUUGACGAGUGGUAGUUGUGGAGACUUUGUGGAAGUCAUGACUGAUCUAAGUACUUCGUGAUGUGCAGCAAGUUUUCUAUUACGAUUUGGUGGUUGAACAUCUUUUCCAUGGAGUUUGUGGCCAACUGGGAAGCCAUUCAGGUACUAGCAACGGUCCACAGUGUGAGUAGUACCUUCAUAGUAGGAGCAAACUUGGGAUUUUCAAUCCCUUUGGGACUUAUAGUGGGAGGAUGACCAUUGUUUCUGUUGACGUGAACCUUCAGAUGAUAUUUCCUUAGAGUUUUCAUGAGUUUUGAUGUUCAUGGCGUGAAUGAGGUCGCUGCUCUUUGUUUCAAUAAGACCCCGUUGCUUUUCUUCUUCACAUAAGAGUGAAUAAGCCUUUCUUAUAGUUGGUAGAGGUUGCAUUAGCAUAAUUUGUCCUCGAACAGCAGAAUAUGUUUCAUUCAAUCCCAUAAGGAAUUGUCCAAGUCGAAUCCUUCCUUCCCUGCUCUUCAAGUCCUUUUGUGCUUCACAAGUGUAAGUGAUUGGAGGGCUACAGGCAGCAAGUUCAUCCCACAACAUUUUCAUCUUUGUGUAAUAAGAAAAAAUCGAUUCCUGAUCUUGUUUCAAUUCAACAAUAGAUCGUUGAGUUUGAUAAUGAUGAGAAAAGUCACCUUGAGAGAAUCGUUCUUGAAGAUCUAUCCAGACUUCUGAAGGAGUUUUAGCAUAUAGAACGCUGUUGGUCAGCUCCGGACUUAGGGAAUUAAAUAUCCAAGACGACAACAUGUCAUUGUAGCGCUUCAAUAGGGAAUACUUUGGAUCUUUUGUCUCUGGGAUAGAAAUUGUUCCUUUGAUAAAUCCCAACUUGUUUUUAG
This 1004-nucleotide long non-coding RNA is filed under the name Olea europaea subsp. europaea. Lineage: Eukaryota; Viridiplantae; Streptophyta; Magnoliopsida; Lamiales; Oleaceae. The record is from RNAcentral.